UACGUAGGGUGCGAGCGUUAAUCGGAAUUACUGGGCGUAAAGGGCGCGUAGGUGGCCUGUUAAGUCGAACGUGAAAUCCCCGGGCUCAACCCGGGAACUGCGUCCGAGACUGAAAGGCUUGAAUCCGGGAGAGGGAUGUGGAAUUCCAGGUGUAGCGGUGAAAUGCGUAGAUAUCUGGAGGAACAUCGGUGGCGAAGGCGGCAUCCUGGACCGGUAUUGACGCUGAGGCGCGAAAGCCAGGGGAGCAAACGGG
RNAcentral lists this ribosomal RNA (253 nucleotides) under uncultured bacterium. RNAcentral's name for it is "partial 16S ribosomal RNA". It matches the Rfam family "Bacterial small subunit ribosomal RNA", at positions 524 to 776 of the family's 1533-position model. The record is from RNAcentral.